GCACAAGCGGUGGAGCAUGUGGUUAAUUCGACGCAACGCGAAGAACCUUACCAGGGCUUGACAUCCCCUGACCGCGUAUGAAAGUAUGUUUUCACCUCGGGUGACAGGGAGACAGGUGGUGCAUGGUUGUCGUCAGCUCGUGUCGUGAGAUGUUGGGUUAAGUCCCGCAACGAGCGCAACCCCUACGUUUAGUUGCUAACAGGUGAAGCUGAGCACUCUAGACGAACUGCCGUUGACAAAACGGAGGAAGUGGGGAUGACGUCAAAUCAUCAUGCCCCUUAUGUUCUGGGCUACACACGUGCUACAAUGGCCGGUACAGACGGAGGCGAAGCCGCGAGGCGGAGCAAAUCCGAAAAAGCCGGUCUCAGUUCGGAUUGCAGGCUGCAAUUCGCCUGCAUGAAGUCGGAAUCGCUAGUAAUCGCAGGUCAGCAUACUGCGGUGAAUACGUUCCCGGGCCUU
RNAcentral lists this ribosomal RNA (459 nucleotides) under uncultured Pelotomaculum sp. RNAcentral's name for it is "bacterial SSU rRNA". It matches the Rfam family "Bacterial small subunit ribosomal RNA", at positions 923 to 1382 of the family's 1533-position model. The record is from RNAcentral. Lineage: Bacteria; Bacillati; Bacillota; Clostridia; Eubacteriales; Desulfotomaculaceae.